CCCGCUGAACUUAAGCAUAUCAAUAAGCGGAGGAAAAGAAACCAACAGGGAUUGCCUCAGUAACGGCGAGUGAAGCGGCAACAGCUCAAAUUUGAAAUCUGGCUCUUUCAGGGUCCGAGUUGUAAUUUGUAGAAGAUGCUUCGGGUGUGGCUCUGGUCUAAGUUCCUUGGAACAGGACGUCAUAGAGGGUGAGAAUCCCGUAUGUGACUGGUUGCCUUCGCCUAUGUGAAGCUCUUUCGACGAGUCGAGUUGUUUGGGAAUGCAGCUCAAAAUGGGUGGUAAAUUUCAUCUAAAGCUAAAUAUUGGCCAGAGACCGAUAGCGCACAAGUAGAGUGAUCGAAAGAUGAAAAGCACUUUGGAAAGAGAGUUAAACAGUACGUGAAAUUGUUGAAAGGGAAGCGCUUGCAACCAGACUUGCGCGCUGCUGAUCAUCCGGGGUUCUCUCCGGUGCACUCGGUUGCGCUCAGGCCAGCAUCGGUUUGGGUGGUUGGAUAAAGGCUGUGGGAAUGUGGCUUCUCUCGGGGAGUGUUAUAGCCCACGGUGCAAUGCAGCCUACCCGGACCGAGGACCGCGCUUCGGCUAGGAUGCUGGCGUAAUGGUUGUAAGCGACCCGUCUUGAAACAC
RNAcentral lists this ribosomal RNA (624 nucleotides) under uncultured fungus. RNAcentral describes it as "eukaryotic LSU rRNA". It matches the Rfam family "Eukaryotic large subunit ribosomal RNA", at positions 24 to 662 of the family's 3401-position model. The record is from RNAcentral. Lineage: Eukaryota; Fungi.